RNAcentral lists this ribosomal RNA (441 nucleotides) under uncultured bacterium. RNAcentral's name for it is "partial 16S ribosomal RNA". It matches the Rfam family "Bacterial small subunit ribosomal RNA", at positions 338 to 795 of the family's 1533-position model. The record is from RNAcentral.
CCUACGGGAGGCAGCAGUGAGGAAUAUUGGUCAAUGGGGGAAACUCUGAUGCAGCGACGCCGCGUGAGUGAAGAAGUAUCUCGGUAUUUAAAGCUCUAUUAGCAGGGAAGAAGAAAGACGGUACCUGACUAAGAAGCCCCGGCUAACUACGUGCCAGCAGCCGCGGUAAUACGUAGGGGGCAAGCGUUAUCCGGAUUUACUGGGUGUAAAGGGAGCGUAGACGGCUGUGCAAGUCUGAGGUGAAAGCCAAGGGCUCAACCCUGGGACUGCAUUGGAAACUGGGGAGCUAGAGUGCUGGAGAGGUAAGUGGAAUUCGUAGUGUAGCGGUGAAAUGCGUAGAUAUUAGGAGGAACACCAGUGGCGAAGGCGGCUUACUGGACAGUAACUGACGUUGAGGCUCGAAAGCGUGGGGAGCAAACAGGAUUAGAUACCCCAGUAGUC